RNAcentral lists this long non-coding RNA (355 nucleotides) under Lathyrus oleraceus (garden pea). RNAcentral describes it as "Pisum sativum (pea) long non-coding RNA (PSAT_LNC007880)". The record is from RNAcentral. Lineage: Eukaryota; Viridiplantae; Streptophyta; Magnoliopsida; Fabales; Fabaceae.
UUGACCUUGCAAAACCACCUAUGGUAACUUGUUUUGUGUCAAUUUCUCUGUCCUUCCCUGCUUCCUCUUUUUCUCACCACUUCCACAAUCUUCAACAGAGCCUUCAAUAAUCAUAACGUCAAUGAGUUGUCUCUUGGAACCUUUUUCCCCUCUUAUUUUUCUAGCAAAGCCUGUCUUUUUUUAUACACCUUUCUUUCUAGUCCACUUCCUCUUUGUACAACUAGUAGUUAUACCCUGCAUUAUGCCUCCUUAAUUCUCAUUUGAAAUUGCUACAGAUCCCAAAGAUUUUGCCACUAUCUUUAUGUCUAAGUUUUCUCAUUUGUCUUCUUAAGUUAUUUAUCUUGAUAUAUCCUUU